This 253-nucleotide ribosomal RNA is filed under the name uncultured bacterium. RNAcentral's name for it is "partial 16S ribosomal RNA". It matches the Rfam family "Bacterial small subunit ribosomal RNA", at positions 524 to 776 of the family's 1533-position model. The record is from RNAcentral.
UACGGAGGAUCCAAGCGUUAUCCGGAAUCAUUGGGUUUAAAGGGUCCGUAGGCGGUUUUGUAAGUCAGUGGUGAAAGCCCAUCGCUCAACGGUGGAACGGCCAUUGAUACUGCAAGACUUGAAUUACUAGGAAGUAACUAGAAUAUGUAGUGUAGCGGUGAAAUGCUUAGAGAUUACAUGGAAUACCAAUUGCGAAGGCAGGUUACUACUAGUGGAUUGACGCUGAUGGACGAAAGCGUGGGGAGCGAACAGG